RNAcentral lists this transfer RNA (96 nucleotides) under Klebsiella pneumoniae. RNAcentral describes it as "tRNA-seC(tca)". The record is from RNAcentral. Lineage: Bacteria; Pseudomonadati; Pseudomonadota; Gammaproteobacteria; Enterobacterales; Enterobacteriaceae.
UAACCUGCUGACAGACUGGGAGCGUGUUUUAGGCGUCACACCUAAUGAGGAUGACAGUUAUCAGCAGCGUCUGGAUCGUGUUCUGAUUAAGUUGUC